RNAcentral lists this transfer RNA (83 nucleotides) under Planctomycetota bacterium. Its description in RNAcentral is "tRNA-Leu". It matches the Rfam family "tRNA". From Rfam's summary of the family: Transfer RNA (tRNA) molecules are approximately 80 nucleotides in length. Their secondary structure includes four short double-helical elements and three loops (D, anti-codon, and T loops). Further hydrogen bonds mediate the characteristic L-shaped molecular structure. tRNAs have two regions of fundamental functional importance: the anti-codon, which is responsible for specific mRNA codon recognition, and the 3' end, to which the tRNAs corresponding amino acid is attached (by aminoacyl-tRNA synthetases). tRNAs cope with the degeneracy of the genetic code in two manners: having more than one tRNA (with a specific anti-codon) for a particular amino acid; and 'wobble' base-pairing, i.e. permitting non-standard base-pairing at the 3rd anti-codon position. RNAcentral also lists the same sequence under 1 other name. Lineage: Bacteria; Pseudomonadati; Planctomycetota. The record is from RNAcentral.
GCCGGAGUGGCGGAAUGGCAGACGCGCCAGCUUGAGGGGCUGGUUUCUGUAUAGAAGUGCAGGUUCAAGUCCUGUCUCCGGCA